Molecule: long non-coding RNA, 759 nt
Filed under: Ananas comosus (pineapple)
Lineage: Eukaryota; Viridiplantae; Streptophyta; Magnoliopsida; Poales; Bromeliaceae
Description: long non-coding RNA (ACOM_LNC016707)
Source: RNAcentral
AUUAGGUUACAAUAUUAUUAAUAGUAUCAACUACUUGCUAUUAGGUUUUCGGCCCUAAGAUGAAGGGAUGUGUGGUCAGGAUGAUAGUAGCCCCUAGGGUUGAGGAGGUGGAUAAUUGAAUAGCAUGAUUUAACAGAUGAAAAUGGCCAAAGGGGUAGAUCUAACGGCAGAAAACUCGAUAGCAUCAAAUGCUUGGUAUUAUCGAUAGUAUAGUAGCCGGACUCUAUAUUUAUAGGUAGAUCUAACGGCAGAAAACUCGAUAGCACAAAACAAUUGGUACUAUAGAUAGUAUAAUAGCCGGACUAUAUAUAUAGAGAGAGAGUCCGGCUACAAUAUUAUCGAUAAUACCAAAUGCUUAGUGCUGUCGAAUUUUUUGCCGUUAGAUCUAUCCGUUUGACCAGUUUCACUCAAUAGAUCAUACUAUUCAACUAACCACCUACUCAACUCUAGGGAAUCACUAUCAUCCUAACCGCACAUCCCUUCAUCCAAGGCCGAAAACCUAAUACCAAGUGGUUGGUACUAUUAAUAAUAUAGUAGACUUUUUAUAUAUACAUAUAUAUGUAUGCAUAUAUAUUUCGAGCUUUUCGAGCCUAAUUCGAGCGAGCCCGGUAAUACUCAAGCUUGGCUUGAAAUUAAUUUCGAGCCUAAAUUUAGGCUCAAGCUCGACUUGAAAUUAAUUCGAGUCGAGCUCGAGCGAGCCGAAUAUCGAGCCGAACGCGAGUCGAACACGAGCCGGCUCGCUCAUUUGCCAGCCCUACA